GAAAGAGAAAGAGACAUAAGCUGAAGAAUCAAAGAGGAGGAGGGAGAUGCGGAUGAGCCUUCACUUCAACAAGAAGCUUCUGUAGCAGAAUAUGUGUCACUUUCACACUUGUCUUCAAAGCAAAACCUGCACCAAUAGCACAAAGCUCAUACCUCAAUUGCAGCAGAAAAGAAAAGACAACAUUGCAGAGCUAUCCAUCCGAAGAUGGGAUCCCUUCAGACACCGAUAGGAAUGAGAAGCUCCUCUUUGUUAGAUACAUCCUGCGGAUAUUUGCUCAGAGAGUUACAGGCAAGUUUGUUUGAUGGUUCUUUCUGUUUCUUUGAAGUAUAAUGGUUCAUAAUCAAGAAUUAUCUAACAGAUGGAUGGUCACUGUUUUGUGCACAGAUGAUAUGGGAUGAAGUUGGAGAAGAUAAGUUUGAGAGAGAAAAAGUGUUGCUUGAUAUAGAGCAGGAAUGUGUAGAGGCUUACCGGAGAAAAGUUGACCAGGCCAAUGUUUCAAGGUCUCGUCUACAUCAAGAGCUGGCAGAAACUGAAGCCGAAGUCACCCAUUUUCUUUUGUGCCUCGGUGAAAGAUCAGUACCUGGAAGGGUAAUUUUCAUUCUUUAAUAUCCAUUAUGAAGCAAAGAUUAUUCAUUUAAGCAAAACCAAGACUAGUCCACAUUUUUAGAUAAUUUUGUUGUCAUUCUCUAUACAGCCGGAGAAAAAGGGAGGAACACUGAGGGAGCAGCUGGACUCUAUUGCACCUGCACUGCGUGAGAUGAGGCAGAGGAAAGAUGAGAGAGUGAAGCAGUUCCGAUCUGUCAAAGGGGAAAUUCAGAAAAUUUCAGCAGAAAUAGCAGGUAAACCAACAUAUGAAGACUCAUCUAGAAAGAUAACCAUAGAUGACAACGAUCUUUCUGAUAAGAAACUCGAGGAAUAUCAGAACGAACUGCAUAGACUCAAUGAUGAGAAGGUACAUUUGUAAUACCAAAUUGGGAAACAUUUUGUGAACAUGCCUUGCUUUUACUUAUCAGACAGUUCUAUCUUAUCCAUCAUGUGGUGUCUUUGAUUGUUUUGUCACACAAGAAUGAGAGACUACAGAAGGUUGAUAUAUACAUAUGCGCCAUUCGAGAUCUAUCAGCUACAUUGGGUACAGAAGCAUCAAUGAUCAUAACAAAGAUUCACCCAAGCCUGAACGACCUCUAUGGAAUAUCCAAAAACAUCAGUGAUGAUAUCUUAAAAAAGCUUAAUGGCACUGUUGUGUCUCUCGAAGAGGAAAAGCACAAGCGCCUUGAAAAGGUGAAGUUAAUUAGACAUGUUUCAUUUCAUUAUCUAUCCUCAGAAUAUAUAGCUUAACAAAUAACUUGAAACACAAAUUAAUCAGUAAAGAGACGCACAUUUAUCAAAGAGAAAAGAGGUUGUUAUCUGACCUUUUAAGACAUCAUUUGUGCAGCUUCACCAUCUUGGUAGAGCUUUAUCGGACUUGUGGGAUCUGAUGGAUGCAUCUUAUGAAGAUCGUCAAAAGUUUUCUCACGUCAUUGAUUUACUAUCAUUUGCACCAUCAGACGUGUGUGCUCCUGGCAGCAUUACAUUAGACAUAAUUCAACAGGUAAGUAUAUAAUUAUGUAGACAUGUAGUACAGUGGUUCCGUACCAAUGAUAACUGAUGUUGACCGCCUUUUCUUUUGUGCAAAAUUUUUCCCAAGGCUGAGGCUGAAGUCAAGAGACUAGAUCAACUGAAAGCAAGCAGAACCAAAGAACUUUUCCUCAAGAAGCAAAAGGAACUAGAGGAUACAUGCAACAUAUCGCAUAUGGAAACUCCAUCAACCGAAAUAGGAAAUAUAAUGAACCUUGUAGACUCCGGUGAGGCUAACUGUAACUUUCUGCAACUGCUGGGUGUCUUUGUUAUACAUGUCAAACUCAUUGCAGAGUUUUCAUACUCUAUUUGAAAGG
Molecule: long non-coding RNA, 1931 nt
Filed under: Arabidopsis lyrata
Lineage: Eukaryota; Viridiplantae; Streptophyta; Magnoliopsida; Brassicales; Brassicaceae
Description: long non-coding RNA (ALYR_LNC003091)
Source: RNAcentral